ACGAACGCUGGCGGCGUGCUUAACACCUGCAAGUCGAACGGAAAGGCCCUGCUUUUGUGGGGUGCUCGAGUGGCGAACGGGUGAGUAACACGUGAGUAACCUGCCCUUGACUUUGGGAUAACUUCAGGAAACUGGGGCUAAUACCGGAUAGGAGCUCCUGCUGCAUGGUGGGGGUUGGAAAGUUUCGGCGGUUGGGGAUGGACUCGCGGCUUAUCAGCUUGUUGGUGGGGUAGUGGCUUACCACGGCUUUGACGGGUAGCCGGCCUGAGAGGGUGACCGGCCACAUUGGGACUGAGAUACGGCCCAGACUCCUACGGGAGGCAGCAGUGGGGAAUAUUGCACAAUGGGCGGAAGCCUGAUGCAGCAACGCCGCGUGCGGGAUGACGGCCUUCGGGUUGUAAACCGCUUUCGCCUGUGACGAAGCGUGAGUGACGGUAAUGGGUAAAGAAGCACCGGCUAACUACGUG
RNAcentral lists this ribosomal RNA (467 nucleotides) under uncultured bacterium. Its description in RNAcentral is "partial 16S ribosomal RNA". It matches the Rfam family "Bacterial small subunit ribosomal RNA", at positions 29 to 507 of the family's 1533-position model. The record is from RNAcentral.